This 733-nucleotide long non-coding RNA is filed under the name Olea europaea subsp. europaea. The record is from RNAcentral. Lineage: Eukaryota; Viridiplantae; Streptophyta; Magnoliopsida; Lamiales; Oleaceae.
CAAGUAUUAAUCCUAAAUUAAACCCCAUUAAUCUCCCUUAAUCCUCCGUCUUGAUUAUCCAAUUCUCUUAUAUACAUCUGUAGUUCAGCUUACAUUUCCCAAUAUUUUUGCGAAAAUGCCGGGUUUAGUUUCAGUUAAAUCCCCGGCGGAGGCUCCGCCGUUGCGAAUCGCUGUACCCGAUGAGCCACACACCCCGAUCCGACCGGAAUCCAUCAGAUCUGAACCCACUAUCCCGAAAUCCAGCUCCCCGGUUCCUCGCCGUCCGCCCUCCCCCUCCCCGUCCAAUUCUCGCGCUAAACCUUCUCCUGAUCGGAGUUCCGGCAAGAAGAAAUCACCUCCAGAAAAGAACCUUCUUGACGAAUCCUCCCUCGACAAUCCGGAUCUCGGCCCGUUCUUGCUCAAGUUAGCCCGAGAUACGAUUGCUUCAGGCGAGGGCCCGAAUAAAGCCCUUGACUACGCGUUGAGGGCAGCGAAGAGUUUUGAGAGGUGUGCGGUUGAGGGAGAACCGAGCUUGGAUUUGGCGAUGAGUUUGCAUGUUGUGGCGGCGAUUUAUUGCAGUUUGGGGAGGUUUGAGGAGGCGGUGUCGGUUUUGGAACGGGCAAUUAAGGUGCCGGAGGUUUCGAGAGGUGCGGAUCACGCGCUGGCGGCGUUCUCUGGUUACAUGCAGCUCGGGGACACGCAUUCGAUGCUCGGGCAGCUGGAUCGGUCCAUUGAUUGUUAUAAGGAAGGAUUG